Long non-coding RNA from Lagopus muta (rock ptarmigan), 540 nucleotides. RefSeq lists it as uncharacterized. NCBI's taxonomy places the organism in Eukaryota, Metazoa, Chordata, Aves, Galliformes, Phasianidae. The transcript has 3 exons. The record is from RefSeq and is a predicted model, not a curated record.
CUCUUCUUGGGGCUCUGCUAGCCUUUGGAAAGGGUUGUAAUAUCAAAAGAACAGAUGACCUGAUCAGCAGCAGAUUCCCAGUGCUUUUUACGCUUACAUAUGAUCCUACAUAAAGCAGUUUCAAGACUGUAAUUCAACAAUCACUUGAAUCUUCUACUAUACUUCGCUAUUUGUUAAGCCACCAUUACACGAUGACAUGAAAUUACAGAUGGAAAGGAAAAGAUUUAUGUAUAUUUGCUUGUGAAGACUGUACACGUAAACAAAGUGAAUUUAUCAUUUCUUUUGGUGAGUAUUUUCUGCCUCCAGACAAAAAGCUAAAGAUUUUAUAUAUACAUUUGAAUGUGGUGGUGGUGUUGCUUACUUGUUUUUAUGGAUCCAGAACGUACAUAAAUAACGUAUAAUAAAUUAAACAGAAAACAAACAAAAGUUACAAGAGAUAUAGUUAAAUAAUAUUUGGAAGCAUAAAUAUUAGUUCUUUCUUUCACUCUAGGGAACAGCUUGAUCAGUAAUACAAAUGUUAUUUACUCAUCUAUACUCUAC